RNAcentral lists this ribosomal RNA (207 nucleotides) under uncultured bacterium. Its description in RNAcentral is "partial 16S ribosomal RNA". It matches the Rfam family "Bacterial small subunit ribosomal RNA", at positions 1294 to 1500 of the family's 1533-position model. The record is from RNAcentral.
CGGAUUGUAGUCUGCAACCCGACUACAUGAAGCUGAAAUCGCUAGUAAUCGCGAAUCAGAAUGUCGCGGUGAAUACGUUCCCGGGUCUUGUACACACCGCCCGUCACACCAUGGGAGUCGGAAAUGCCCGAAGUCAGUGACCUAACCGAAAGGGAGGAGCUGCCGAAGGUGGAGCCGGUAACUGGGGUGAAGUCGUAACAAGGUAGC